AUUCUUCUCAAAAUAUGUUGGUGGCUUGAGCGAUGUCAUUACCAAGUGGUGAUCUAUACAGAAGGGAGCUCUGAGAAGCCAAGAUGUCUGAAGCAAGGCGCACAUCAGUGUGAGAGUCUUGAAGGAGCACAGUGGUGACAGCAUCCUGGAGGAGCAUGCCAGUGGCAGAGUCUCAGAGGAGGACAUCUGUUUCUACCCUCUUGCUGAUGAGGAUCUCCAGCAGCCUCUGGAUAUGUGGGCUGACAAGUGAGGGUCUGCUCAUCUCUCCCCAGCUGUCUGUGGGGCUUUCCCAGUUGGAGGCCCCUGGUGAGGAGGGCUCUUGUUGGGCCUCCUGCUUGGAUGAGGUGGGGAAGAACAAGGCCUUGGUGGUCUCCCACCAGCAGGAGAGGAAUGCCAUGGGACAGCUGGCGAGGCCAAGACUCCAGAUGGCUGGGAUGGCAGAUGCCCAAAAGGAGUUACCUGGAGAUGGUAGUGAGGACGGAUCACUCCUGAGGUAGGGGCAUAAGAGGAAGAAGAGCCCCAGUCUACACACCAAGGCGAGGAUGGUUUCAUCCACCCAGGAAGCGGGACUGGGGUGCCACCAAGGAGCACCCAUAUUGUUCACAAAAGAGUGAAGAUUCUUUAUCUCUUCACAAGGCUUUCACAGGAGAUAGCACUGUUACCCGCAGGUAACUGAACCCUGGGAAUGACCUGGCAGUUAGAGCCCCAGGCUCAUACCAUAGAACUGCAGCCACAUCACAAAGGGCUCUUGAGGGUGGGGGAGGGGACAGGAGGGGAGGAGGCUGGGCCAGCACCCCUCCCCUGCCACCCAGCCCCUCAGCUCUCUCCUUCCAGCCUCUUGGGCCUUCUAGACCUCAAUCAAUUUUCGGAUCAUUUCACCUGAAAGCCAGGUAUUUCCUGGUUCUGCAGGUCUCUUGGAGAUCUUGGCUUGAACCCACCUAUUUCUUAGCCUUUGAAAGUCUGAUAUUCUCUGAGGCAUUUGGCUGUUGCCCAGAGACAUAUAUAUAAACUGUCAGCAUCUCCUCUGUCCACAAUUUCAUCCUUUUCUCACCUCACCUGUUUACAGAGAAGUUGUACUUCCUCAGCAGAUUUCAAUGAUACCACACAGUAUUAUCAGCUCAUGUUGUACAUUAGAUCCCCAAACCUUCAUUUCAUAACGAAGUCUGUGUCAGGGAGCAACCGUUAGGGAGUGUCCUUAUGGCCCUGCUCAGCCACUGGUGGGCAUUGCGGUGGGCCCUUCCCCCAAGCAAGCGACAGGGAGUGACCAUGGGCCCCUCCCCCUCUCCCCUUCCCUCUGGAUAAGCGGAGCCUGAAUUGGGACUGAGGCAAGAUGGGUUUUUGAGACACAGGUCUGCCAUCUUGUCGGUCAGCCAGCUUUCCGCUUAAAGUUGCUAUUCCUUGUCCCAAAAACUCGUCUCCGAAUUUAUUCACCUGUCGAGCAGCACACACAGCAGACUUGGGUUGGGUAUGGUUUGUACCCUGUUACUGGCCUCUUAUUUCCCUCAACCUCUGCCCCUGGCAACCACCUCUCUGUUUCUGUGAGUCUGACUUUUCCUGGUAGAUUUCACAUGGAAGUGAUAAGGGGCUGUUUUUGUCUUUGUCUGGCCUAUUUCCCUUAGCAGGAUGUCCUUUAGAUUCCUCCACAUGGUUGCAAAUCUUAACUCUGUUUUUCCCAUGUGGUAAGUUUUUGACGUUCCUCAACCCAGAAAUGGAAUCUUAUUGUAUCCUGACUUAACGUUGAAUAUUUAAUUUGUGAUUGUUUCCAUCCACCUUUGCCAUCUUUACUCAGAACAACUGACACAAAAAUUCAAACAAAUGAUUUAUUACUUAAAAUUUACAAAACUCCAUAUAAUAGAAAGAUAAGUAAUUAAACAUCUAAACGAUAUGGUUUGUGUUAGUAGCAUUUAUACUUCUGAAGUUAGAAAAGCUUCACCAAGGCUUAUGGGACAUGCUGGACUCAUACAAACACACACACCUACACAUUUUGACAGACCAGUGCAGUCAUUUCAAAUCCCAAAGUUAAGCGUGUCCUCGUGUUCUUUAAAUUUUUCUGUGUGUAUGGUCUUGACCACAUUUCUUCUUACUCUGACCAGAAUGGACAGUCUCCAUUCUCCAAAGUCUAGAAACCUGUGUGGCACACCCAGAAGCUAGGGAUAGUUUAAUUGAACUCAAGUUCUAUUCUUUAGAGUGGACACUGAGGCUGGAGGCCCGGGGCCUGGGUUUGAGUCCUCUUAAGUAGCCUUUUCUGCUAUCACCAGUAUGUUCUAUGCAUAGUCUCUUCUUCAGAGUACACAGUGCCUUCCCGCCUCUACCCCUCCACACUCCCGGAGCCUCACAUCUUGCUGGUACUUUCUAGAAAGGGUACUUUGAUUCUUAUAGGAAAUUCCCUUGUGAUAUCAUUGGACAUCCCUUUUGGCAGGUGGAAUUGGGUAUUCACCUAGGGAUUGUACUUUUUAAUCACCACCUGGUGAGUUUUUCUUCAUAUAUGAACUAUUCAUUUGGCUGUACUGUCAUGAAGUUCAUGUUCAAGAACACAUCUUUGGCAUCUCCUGUUGCUUUUGAUACAAUGUCUUACCCCUUUAUGAUGUUGUCUGUGGGGUAUUACAG
Molecule: long non-coding RNA, 2607 nt
Filed under: Sus scrofa (pig)
Lineage: Eukaryota; Metazoa; Chordata; Mammalia; Artiodactyla; Suidae
Description: lncRNA (ENSSSCG00040054730.1)
Source: RNAcentral